GGGAGGGGGGGCAAGCGUUGUUCGGAAUUACUGGGCGUAAAGGGCGCGUAGGCGGGUAUGCCAUGUCAGGGCGUGAAAGGGCCUGGGCUCAACCCAGGAACUGCCUUUGAAACUGGCAAACUAGAGUCCGAUAGAGGAUGGCGGAAUUCCCAGUGUAGAGGUGAAAUUCGUAGAUAUUGGGAAGAACACCAGUGGCGAAGGCGGCCAUCUGGAUCGGCACUGACGCUGAGGCGCGAAAGCGUGGGGAGCAAACAGGAUUAGAUACCCUGGUAGUCCACGCCGUAAACGAUGUGUGCUAGACGUUGGGGGUCUUAGACCCUGGGUGUCGUAGCUAACGCGUUAAGCACACCGCCUGGGGAGUACGGCCGCAAGGUUA
This 376-nucleotide ribosomal RNA is filed under the name uncultured organism. RNAcentral describes it as "partial 16S ribosomal RNA". It matches the Rfam family "Bacterial small subunit ribosomal RNA", at positions 524 to 896 of the family's 1533-position model. The record is from RNAcentral.